GGUCAGAACUGGACUAUGGCCUAAAUGGUUAGGGCAAAUGGACUCUGGAUUGAGCGGUACAGGUUCAAGUCCUGGCCCGUGAUCA
Non-coding RNA from Desmophyllum pertusum, 85 nucleotides. The record is from the annotation of a GenBank genome assembly. NCBI's taxonomy places the organism in Eukaryota, Metazoa, Cnidaria, Anthozoa, Scleractinia, Caryophylliidae.